CCUACGGGAGGCAGCAGUCGGGAAUCUUCCGCAAUGGGCGAAAGCCUGACGGAGCGACGCCGCGUGAGCGAUGAAGGCCUUCGGGUUGUAAAGCUCUGGGGGAGAAGAACCGGUACCUCCUUAGCAAGCACCGGCUAACUCUGUGCCAGCAGCCGCGGUAAGACAGAGGGUGCAAACGUUGUUCGGAUUUACUGGGCGUAAAGCGCGUGUAGGCGGCUUGGCAAGUCGGAUGUGAAAGCCCACGGCUCAACCGUGGAAGCGCAUCCGAAACUGCUUGGCUUGAGCUCGGAGAGGAAGGUGGAAUGCUUGGUGUAGAGGUGAAAUUCGUAGAUAUCAGCAGAACACCUGCGGCGAAGGCGGCCUUCUGGACGAUACUGACGCUGAGACGCGAAAGCGUGGGGAGCAAACAGGAUUAGAUACCCUUGUAGUC
This 430-nucleotide ribosomal RNA is filed under the name uncultured bacterium. RNAcentral's name for it is "partial 16S ribosomal RNA". It matches the Rfam family "Bacterial small subunit ribosomal RNA", at positions 338 to 795 of the family's 1533-position model. The record is from RNAcentral.